Molecule: ribosomal RNA, 261 nt
Filed under: Triticum aestivum (bread wheat)
Lineage: Eukaryota; Viridiplantae; Streptophyta; Magnoliopsida; Poales; Poaceae
Description: partial small subunit ribosomal RNA
Source: RNAcentral
AUGUGUGUUCUGAAGGAGAAAGGAGGCUGAGGCUUUCACGAGGUUCAUAGUUUCAAUUUAGCUAUGCUCGUGAAACAAUGUUGGAGACUCAUUGAGAAUUAUGAAUCUCUCUUUGUGAGGGUUUUAAGGUCCAAGUACAACCCAUCUGGAGAUAUCCUAAACUUCCAACUCAAGAAAGGUUCCUCCUAUGUAUGGCAGAGUAUAUGGGCUGGCAUUCAGACUUUCAAAAAGGGUGUAUUUGGCGAGUGGGAAAUGGCAUGA